UACGGAGGGUGCGAGCGUUAAUCGGAAUUACUGGGCGUAAAGCGUGCGUAGGCGGCCCGUUAAGUCAGAUGUGAAAGCCCUGGGCUCAACCUGGGAACGGCAUUUGAAACUGGCGGGCUAGAGUUAGGUAGAGGGAAGUGGAAUUCCGGGUGUAGCGGUGAAAUGCGUAGAUAUCCGGAGGAACACCAGUGGCGAAGGCGGCUUCCUGGACCCAAACUGACGCUGAGGUACGAAAGCGUGGGGAGCAAACAGG
This 253-nucleotide ribosomal RNA is filed under the name uncultured bacterium. Its description in RNAcentral is "partial 16S ribosomal RNA". It matches the Rfam family "Bacterial small subunit ribosomal RNA", at positions 524 to 776 of the family's 1533-position model. The record is from RNAcentral.